RNAcentral lists this ribosomal RNA (524 nucleotides) under uncultured bacterium. RNAcentral describes it as "bacterial SSU rRNA". It matches the Rfam family "Bacterial small subunit ribosomal RNA", at positions 355 to 896 of the family's 1533-position model. The record is from RNAcentral.
UGGGGAAUAUUGGACAAUGGACCAAGAGUCUGAUCCAGCAAUUCUGUGUGCACGAUGACGUUUUUCGGAAUGUAAAGUGCUUUCAGUUGGGAAGAAGAAAAUGACGGUACCAACAGAAGAAGUGACGGCUAAAUACGUGCCAGCAGCCGCGGUAAUACGUAUGUCACGAGCGUUAUCCGGAUUUAUUGGGCGUAAAGCGCGUCUAGGUGGUUAUGUAAGUCUGAUGUGAAAAUGCAGGGCUCAACUCUGUAUUGCGUUGGAAACUGUGUAACUAGAGUACUGGAGAGGUAAGCGGAACUACAGGUGUAGAGGUGAAAUUCGUAGAUAUUUGUAGGAAUGCCGAUGGGGAAGCCAGCUUACUGGACAGAUACUGACGCUGAAGCGCGAAAGCGUGGGUAGCAAACAGGAUUAGAUACCCUGGUAGUCCACGCCGUAAACGAUGAUUACUAGGUGUUGGGGGUCGAACCUCAGCGCCCAAGCAAACGCGAUAAGUAAUCCGCCUGGGGAGUACGUACGCAAGUAUG